UGUCAAAUCAUCAUGCCCCUUACGUCUUGGGCUACACACGUGCUACAAUGGCUAUUACAAAGAGCAGCAAACCCGCAAGGGGGAGCGAAUCUCAAAAAGAUAGUCUCAGUUCGGAUUGAGGGCUGAAACCCGCCCUCAUGAAGUCGGAGUUGCUAGUAAUCCCGAAUCAGCAUGUCGGGGUGAAUGCGUUCCCGGGUCUU
This 200-nucleotide ribosomal RNA is filed under the name uncultured prokaryote. RNAcentral describes it as "partial 16S ribosomal RNA". It matches the Rfam family "Bacterial small subunit ribosomal RNA", at positions 1183 to 1382 of the family's 1533-position model. The record is from RNAcentral.